GAUGAACGCUAGCGGCAGGCUUAACACAUGCAAGUCGAGGGGCAGCAUGAGACGGAGAUUCGUCGAAGUCUUGAUGGCGACCGGCGCAAGGGUGCGUAACGCGUGAGCAACUUGCCCGUUUCUGGGGAAUAACCGGUGGAAACGCCGACUAAUACCCCAUAGUAUCAGGUUUAGGCAUCUUUAUCUGAUUAAAGAAUUUCGGAAACGGAUAGGCUCGCGUGACAUUAGCUAGAUGGCGGGGUAACGGCCCACCAUGGCAACGAUGUCUAGGGGUUCUGAGAGGAAGGUCCCCCACACUGGAACUGAGACACGGUCCAGACUCCUACGGGAGGCAGCAGUGAGGAAUAUUGGUCAAUGGUCGGAAGACUGAACCAGCCAAGUAGCGUGAAGGAUGAAGGUUCUAUGGAUUGUAAACUUCUUUAUACGGGAAUAAACCACCUACGUGUAGGUGCUUGUAUGUACCGUAUGAAUAAGCAUCGGCUAACUCCGUGCCAGCAGCC
RNAcentral lists this ribosomal RNA (500 nucleotides) under uncultured bacterium. Its description in RNAcentral is "bacterial SSU rRNA". It matches the Rfam family "Bacterial small subunit ribosomal RNA", at positions 28 to 516 of the family's 1533-position model. The record is from RNAcentral.